Molecule: ribosomal RNA, 464 nt
Filed under: uncultured bacterium
Lineage: Bacteria
Description: partial 16S ribosomal RNA
Rfam family: Bacterial small subunit ribosomal RNA
Source: RNAcentral
GACGAACGCUGGCGGCGUGCUUAACACAUGCAAGUCGAGCGAGGCCCCUCCUUCGGGAGGGUGUCCUAGCGGCGAACGGGUGAGUAACACGUGGGCAACCUGCCCUCAGCUCUGGGAUAACUCCGGGAAACCGGGGCUAAUACCGGAUACGACCUCCACGGGCAUCUGCGGAGGUGGAAAGUUUUUCGGCUGAGGGUGGGCCCGCGGCCUAUCAGCUAGUUGGUGGGGUAGUGGCCCACCAAGGCGACGACGGGUAGCCGGCCUGGGAGGGCGACCGGCCACACUGGGACUGAGACACGGCCCAGACUCCUACGGGAGGCAGCAGUGGGGAAUAUUGCGCACGGGGCGAAAGCCUGACGCAGCGACGCCGCGUGAGGGACGAAGGCCUUCGGGUUGUAAACCUCUUUCAGCAGGGACGAAGCGAAAGUGACGGUACCUGCAGAAGAAGCACCGGCCAACUACGU